CACAGCGCGCCGGGCCGGGCCGGGGGCGGACUGCAGCGGCCCUUCUGCGGGGCUGCUGCCGCCCGCUGGCUCCGCGCGUCCCCUGCCCGCCGCGAGCGGGACGCGCGGACGGUUCAAACCGAGCUGCCCCCGGUUCCUGACUAUCAUCCUGCUUUCUAGAAGGUGAGAAGUAGCAUGUUUUGGAGUCAGUAUGUAGUUGUGAACAUUUGAAAAAGUUCAAAGAGGACAUUUCCGUAAAUAACAAGAUAUUCGGAGAAGCAUAACCUAUUGGUGAUCCUCUGUUGCCCAGUAGUGUCCAAAGAUCUAUGAGAUCAGCAAGAGAGUACUUGAGUUGAAGAGCCAGAACAGAGAUGUGAGCGUGCAAAAAGAAAGGAGAUACAAUCAUGAAGGAAGUGGCUGGGAAGCUCCAAGGAUGCAACUGUUUUCCUCUAUCAUGGGAGGGACCCCAGCUCCUUCAACCUUCAGUGGCUGUGGCUGCAGUCCCUCAGUGCCAACAUCAUUCCAGUCAUGCAUAUCCUACAGUGACACCAGAGCUCUUUUUAGCUCCAAUGUCAUCCAGAAGGCGUGGAGUUGGCGGGAAAACAUCAUCAGUGAACCUUCAAAGCUUCUGAAUCUGGCACCCCACUUGUUCUAUGGACAUCCACAAGGUUCAGUAAAUAAAUCCAGCAAGUAACUGUGUCAAGACAAGAGUCUUACUCUGAUUUUUAUACACAUAGUGUGUUGUGCCUCUUCAACUUGAGAAUUAAAAAAAAAAAAUUACUCUUAUGUACAGUCCUUUUAUGAAUGCCUCGUUUAGUCUUCAUCUUUCAAAGGAGGGAGAAGUUACUCAUUACGAAGUCUUUAAAUGUGGAUUAAAGGACAGUAUUUUGAAAUAAGUAGAAGAAAAUCUUUCCUUUCUCUGAUCUUCAGCCAAACUUGUGUUUCCUUAGAAGUGUUCGGAUUUUUAUUUUGUUUAGUUGUCAGGCAUGGGUUGUUUUUGUUUAAAUAUGAUAUUUCUUAAAUAUUAGUCACAAGGCAGAAGUGGAGUGCAACUUCUAGUUAGUAGAGGUUGUAGUUAGAAACUCAGUUCUAUGUUGUGAAAACAAGAAGUGAAUAUCUCGUGAGUGUCUUUUCUCAAGUGAUUAAAUGUUUCUGAGUGCUGAGCAUUUACUGUGAAUUGUUCCCACUUGCUGGGUUUGUCAUAGUGUUUGCUUCUUUGUGAUUUAUAUAGUGAAAAAACAAUAAAAGUUAUGGGUAAGUAUGUAAAACA
RNAcentral lists this long non-coding RNA (1249 nucleotides) under Apteryx rowi (Okarito brown kiwi). RNAcentral describes it as "lncRNA (ENSARWG00000015413.1)". The record is from RNAcentral. Lineage: Eukaryota; Metazoa; Chordata; Aves; Apterygiformes; Apterygidae.